RNAcentral lists this ribosomal RNA (301 nucleotides) under uncultured bacterium. RNAcentral's name for it is "partial 16S ribosomal RNA". It matches the Rfam family "Bacterial small subunit ribosomal RNA", at positions 509 to 807 of the family's 1533-position model. The record is from RNAcentral.
CAGUAGCCGCGGGAACACGGAGGGGGCUAGCGUUGUUCGGAAUUACCGGGCGUAAAGCGCACGUAGGCGGCUUGGUAAGUUAGAGGUGAAAGCCUGGAGCUCAACUCCAGAAUUGCCUUUAAGACUGCCGAGCUAGCAGGUGAGAGAGGUAAGUGGAAUUCCGAGUGUAGAGGUGAAAUUCGUAGAUAUUCGGAAGAACACCAGUGGCGAAGGCGGCUUACUGGCUCAUACUGGACGCUGAGGUGCGAAAGCGUGGGGAGCAAACAGGAUUAGAUACCCGGGUAGUCCCUGUCUCUUAUAC